This is a long non-coding RNA of Drosophila obscura, 200 nucleotides long. RefSeq lists it as uncharacterized. The transcript has 2 exons. Lineage: Eukaryota; Metazoa; Arthropoda; Insecta; Diptera; Drosophilidae. The record is from RefSeq and is a predicted model, not a curated record.
AUGUGGUGUGGUCUGCUGUGUCGAUGUCGAAGUAGUCGUCGCUUAUUAGGCAUUAUUAUUCAUUACUACUGAUAAAAUCAAUUUGACAGACAGUCUGUGGCUACGCCAAAUUAUCGCAACUGCCACAAUUGGGCCGACCAUCCAUGGCAGCCGCAUGUGGGUUAAGCUACGGGAUAAAGCUUCCAGGCAUGAGUGAAAAA